This 586-nucleotide ribosomal RNA is filed under the name uncultured Gammaproteobacteria bacterium. RNAcentral describes it as "bacterial SSU rRNA". It matches the Rfam family "Bacterial small subunit ribosomal RNA", at positions 68 to 649 of the family's 1533-position model. The record is from RNAcentral. Lineage: Bacteria; Pseudomonadati; Pseudomonadota; Gammaproteobacteria.
GGUUGAGGUAGCUUGCUACCGAUACAGCGGCGGACGGGUGAGUAAUACAUGGGAAUCUGCCUGGUAGUGGGGGACAACGUUUCGAAAGGAACGCUAAUACCGCAUACGCCCUACGGGGGAAAGGGGGGGAUCGCAAGACCUCUCGCUAUCAGAUGAGCCCAUGUCAGAUUAGCUUGUUGGUGAGGUAAAGGCUCACCAAGGCGACGAUCUGUAACUGGUCUGAGAGGAUGAUCAGUCACACUGGAACUGAGACACGGUCCAGACUCCUACGGGAGGCAGCAGUGGGGAAUAUUGGACAAUGGGCGCAAGCCUGAUCCAGCCAUGCCGCGUGUGUGAAGAAGGCCUUAGGGUUGUAAAGCACUUUCAGUGGGGAGAAAGGUCAUUCACCUAAUACGUGAGUGAAUUGAUGUUACCCACAGAAGAAGCACCGGCUAACUCCGUGCCAGCAGCCGCGGUAAUACGGAGGGUGCAAGCCGUUAAUCGGAAUUACUGGGCGUAAAGCGCACGUAAGUGGUUUGUUAAGCCAGCUGUGAAAUCCCCGGGCUCAAACCUGGGCACUGCAGUUGGAACUGGCAAGCUAGAAGUA